Molecule: transfer RNA, 66 nt
Filed under: Gasteruption tournieri
Lineage: Eukaryota; Metazoa; Arthropoda; Insecta; Hymenoptera; Gasteruptiidae
Description: tRNA-Thr
Rfam family: tRNA
About the family: Transfer RNA (tRNA) molecules are approximately 80 nucleotides in length. Their secondary structure includes four short double-helical elements and three loops (D, anti-codon, and T loops).
Source: RNAcentral
GACUAUUUAGUUUAAUUAAAACAAAUGUUUUGUAAACAUUAAAUAAAAAAUAUUUUUUAAUAGUCU